UUUAACUGAAGAGUUUGAUCAUGGCUCAGAUUGAACGCUGGCGGCAGGCUUAACACAUGCAAGUCGAGCGGGGGAAGGUAGCUUGCUACUGGACCUAGCGGCGGACGGGUGAGUAAUGCUUAGGAAUCUGCCUAUUAGUGGGGGACAACAUC
This 152-nucleotide ribosomal RNA is filed under the name Acinetobacter baumannii. Its description in RNAcentral is "partial 16S ribosomal RNA". It matches the Rfam family "Bacterial small subunit ribosomal RNA", at positions 1 to 150 of the family's 1533-position model. Lineage: Bacteria; Pseudomonadati; Pseudomonadota; Gammaproteobacteria; Moraxellales; Moraxellaceae. The record is from RNAcentral.